This 209-nucleotide unclassified non-coding RNA is filed under the name Hevea brasiliensis (rubber tree). The record is from RNAcentral. Lineage: Eukaryota; Viridiplantae; Streptophyta; Magnoliopsida; Malpighiales; Euphorbiaceae.
AUCUAAGACUACGAAUUAUUGACUCAACAAGCUACUAUCCAUUACAGAAGUAUCAUUAGAAAAGACUGUUCACUUCUCAAGUAGAUAAAUGCUGAAUGCAAAGCUCACAUGUGAGAGACUUAACACUAUAUAUACUACCCAAGAGGUCACGGGGUGCGGGCCAUCCAACACAAACAGCGUCAUUACAAAUUACAGGCUCCCAAGAAUAA